CGCGCCGACGCCGGUGUUUUGCAGCCCUGGGCAGCUCGGCAGUCCAGCCCGGCCCGGGUCAUGGUGGUGGGCCGCGGGCUGCUCGGCCGCCGCAGCCUCGCCGCGCUGGGAGCCGCCUGCGCCCGCCGAGGCCUCGGUCCAGCCCUGCUGGGAGUUUUCUGCCACACAGAUUUGCGGAAGAACCUGACCGUGGACGAGGGCACCAUGAGGGUGGAGGUGCUGCCUGCCCUGACCGACAAUUACAUGUACCUGGUCAUUGAUGAUGACACCAAGGAGGCUGCCAUUGUGGAUCCGGUGCAGCCCCAGAAGGUCGUGGACGCGGCGAGAAAGCACGGGGUGAAACUGACCACAGUGCUCACCACCCACCACCACUGGGACCAUGCUGGCGGGAAUGAGAAACUGGUCGAGCUGCAGUCGGGACUGAAGGUGUACGGGGGUGACGACCGUAUCGGGGCCCUGACUCACAAGAUCACUCACCUGUCCACACUGCAGGUGGGGUCUCUGAACGUCAAGUGCCUGGCGACCCCGUGCCACACUUCAGGACACAUUUGUUACUUCGUGAGCAAGCCCGGAGGCUCGGAGCCCCCUGCCGUGUUCACAGGUGACACCUUGUUUGUGGCUGGCUGCGGGAAGUUCUAUGAAGGGACUGCGGAUGAGAUGUGUAAAGCUCUGCUGGAGGUCUUGGGCCGGCUCCCCCCGGACACAAGAGUCUACUGUGGCCACGAGUACACCAUCAACAACCUCAAGUUUGCACGCCACGUGGAGCCCGGCAAUGCCGCCAUCCGGGAGAAGCUGGCCUGGGCCAAGAAGGGAAGAACAGAUUAGUGAGAAACCAUCUUGGCAUCCACCAGACCCCCGCUUGGUGCAGCUCUACCAGCUGAAGAGUCACUCACCGACACCACUGCCCAUAGCAGGAGAAGUACAGCAUCGGGGAGCCCACAGUGCCAUCCACCCUGGCAGAGGAGUUUACCUACAACCCCUUCAUGAGAGUGAGGGAGAAGACGGUGCAGCAGCACGCGGGCAAGACGGACCCGGUGACCACCAUGCAGGCGGUGCGCAGGGAGAAGGACCAGUUCAAGAUGCCCCGGGACUGAGGCCGCCCUGCACCUUCAGCGGAUUUGGGGAUUAGGCUCUUUUAGGUAACUGGCUUUCCUGCUGGUCCGUGCAGGAAAUUCAGUCUUGAUUUAACCUUAAUUUUACAGCCCUUGGCUUGUGUUAUCGGAUGUUCUAAUGCAUAUUUAUAAGAGAAGUUUAAAAAGUAUUUAUUCCCAUAA
Molecule: RNA transcript, 1274 nt
Organism: Pan troglodytes (chimpanzee)
Lineage: Eukaryota; Metazoa; Chordata; Mammalia; Primates; Hominidae
Gene name: hydroxyacylglutathione hydrolase, mitochondrial
Exons: 10
Source: RefSeq, a predicted model, not a curated record